GAGACUGCCGGUGACAAACCGGAGGAAGGUGGGGAGGACGUCAAGUCCUCAUGGCCCUUACGGCCAGGGCUACACACGUACUACAAUGGUCGGUACAGAGGGUUGCAAUACCGCGAGGUGGAGCCAAUCCCAGAAAGCCGAUCCCAGUCCGGAUCGGAGUCUGCAACUCGACUCCGUGAAGUCGGAAUCGCUAGUAAUCGCGGAUCAGCUACGCCGCGGUGAAUACGUUCCCGGGCCUUGUACACA
RNAcentral lists this ribosomal RNA (246 nucleotides) under Rhodanobacter sp. RNAcentral describes it as "partial 16S ribosomal RNA". It matches the Rfam family "Bacterial small subunit ribosomal RNA", at positions 1145 to 1389 of the family's 1533-position model. The record is from RNAcentral. Lineage: Bacteria; Pseudomonadati; Pseudomonadota; Gammaproteobacteria; Lysobacterales; Rhodanobacteraceae.